UGAUUAGCAUAUUUGGUUGAAAGAGAUCUUUAGUUUAAUUGUGCAAAUUCAUGAUAAGUGUGAUAAGUGUGCUUCAUUAAAUCCAUCAAGGUGUAAACAAGUAGUUAUUAGCACAAGAUUCUAAUAAAGGCAAAAUAAAUUAUUGGUUUUGUUUUAUGAUCUAGCACAAAAAAUAACUAGUACGUAGAGUUGUCAAAAGGAGCCACCCGGCCCGCCCCACCACGUGUUGGUCAAUUAGUGAGCCAACUUAAUAUGACUCAUUUAUUAGCGAUCCAAAAAAGGGCGUUGCUCCCUACACCUUCUCAUUUUCUCCCUCCACCUCUCCCUUCCUUUUCUGCCCCUUAUUCUAUAUUUUCUAUUCCUAAUUUAUCCUUUUCAUUUUUAAAGUUAAAACUCACUCCGUAUACAAUAUUAAAAUCUUUAAACGAAUAUAGACAUCCGUCAUCCGUUU
RNAcentral lists this long non-coding RNA (451 nucleotides) under Vigna radiata. RNAcentral describes it as "long non-coding RNA (VRAD_LNC000700)". The record is from RNAcentral. Lineage: Eukaryota; Viridiplantae; Streptophyta; Magnoliopsida; Fabales; Fabaceae.